This is a small nucleolar RNA of Amaranthus tricolor (Joseph's coat), 88 nucleotides long. RefSeq annotates it as small nucleolar RNA snoR31. The transcript has a single exon. The record is from RefSeq and is a predicted model, not a curated record. Lineage: Eukaryota; Viridiplantae; Streptophyta; Magnoliopsida; Caryophyllales; Amaranthaceae.
UUGAUGAGGAUGAGCCAAUGAAAUACAUAUAAUCCAACACUUGAUCUGACAUUAAGUGAUGUUCUAUUUUCAUUACCCCUGAAUCUAC